RNAcentral lists this ribosomal RNA (464 nucleotides) under uncultured bacterium. RNAcentral's name for it is "partial 16S ribosomal RNA". It matches the Rfam family "Bacterial small subunit ribosomal RNA", at positions 28 to 507 of the family's 1533-position model. The record is from RNAcentral.
GACGAACGCUGGCGGCGUGCUUAACACAUGCAAGUCGAACGGUAAGGCCCUUUCGGGGGUACCCGAGUGGCGAACGGGGGAGUAACACGUGGGUGAUCUGCCCUGCACUUUGGGAUAAGCGUGGGAAACUGGGUCUAAUAACGGAUAGGACUACGCGAUGCAUGUCGUGUGGUGGAAAGCUUUUGCGGUGUGGGAUGGGCCCGCGGCUUAUCAGCUUGUUGGUGGGGUGAUGGCCUACCAAGGCGACGACGGGUAGCCGGCCUGAGAGGGUGUCCGGCCACACUGGGACUGAGAUACGGCCCAGACUCCUACGGGAGGCAGCAGUGGGGAAUAUUGCACAAUGGGCGCAAGCCUGAUGCAGCGACGCCGCGUGGGGGAUGACGGCCUUCGGGUUGUAAACCCCUUUCAGCACAGACGAAGCGUAAGUGACGGUAUGUGCAGAAGAAGCACCGGCCAACUACGUG